RNAcentral lists this transfer RNA (67 nucleotides) under Erinaceus europaeus (western European hedgehog). It matches the Rfam family "tRNA". Rfam says of the family: Transfer RNA (tRNA) molecules are approximately 80 nucleotides in length. Their secondary structure includes four short double-helical elements and three loops (D, anti-codon, and T loops). Further hydrogen bonds mediate the characteristic L-shaped molecular structure. tRNAs have two regions of fundamental functional importance: the anti-codon, which is responsible for specific mRNA codon recognition, and the 3' end, to which the tRNAs corresponding amino acid is attached (by aminoacyl-tRNA synthetases). tRNAs cope with the degeneracy of the genetic code in two manners: having more than one tRNA (with a specific anti-codon) for a particular amino acid; and 'wobble' base-pairing, i.e. permitting non-standard base-pairing at the 3rd anti-codon position. Lineage: Eukaryota; Metazoa; Chordata; Mammalia; Eulipotyphla; Erinaceidae. The record is from Rfam by way of RNAcentral.
GGAGGUAGCCCAGUAGCAGAGCACAGGCUUUGCAUACCUGCAGUCCCAAGUUCGAUUCCUGGCUCCA